This is a non-coding RNA of Malus domestica (apple), 903 nucleotides long. Lineage: Eukaryota; Viridiplantae; Streptophyta; Magnoliopsida; Rosales; Rosaceae. The record is from RefSeq and is a predicted model, not a curated record.
UCUGCCUUCCAUUUCCUGCAAUCGCUUUUUUUUCUUUUCUGCUCCACGUCUACACGUGUUGGUCAUCGCGGAAAGAAAAGGGCAUCCCCCAUCGCCGACGAAAGCAGUGGAAAAACCAUUUGCUUCCAUUCGCCGAUCUUAGAAAGGGCAUCCCCCAUCGCCGUUCUCGAGUUCUUUUCUUAUUUGUGUGCCAAUUGUGGUGCUCUCUUGGGGUUUCUGUACGCGUUGGUCAUCUGGAAGGGAAAGAAAAAUCUGUGCAACUGGGGUCUCUCACUCAUUCCACUCUGUGUAAUUCCACUUUUCUAAAAAAAAAAAAUUACAAAAUUGGCUCUCCAGGACUGGAACUGGAAGUAUGAGGGUGAUCUAAUUUUUCUGGCUUUUCAAGAGCAGCGGCAUGAGUUGAAGAUUACGGUGUUCGAUUGAUUUCAAUGGGCCAUAUCUCAUAUAAACAACAAGUGAAAGGUUUACAGGACAUUAACCAAUUACUUGGGCUAUUAGUUCCUUUUACUUUGUGAUGUCCCUUGGUGUGAGUAAAAAAAAUGUUCAGAUUUUGUCUCUGUAAUCAGAUGGUUGAUAUCACUGAUUGAUUUCAUUGUUCUUCACUUUCAAGAAGCAUCGGUGUUUAUUGAAGGUUCCUACAGCCAAAUUGGAAUCAAUCUGAAAGAACUGUGUCUAUUCGCCGUCUUCAAGUUUGACUCGAGUACCUCUAGAAAAUAUCUAUGCAUGGACCACUACUGUAACCCGUUCUCAACCGAUGAACUUCAAACUAUGGUGGAUGCUUUGACAACAAAGCGGGGUGACAACGAAGGGGGAGGCGUUAAUGAGCGGCUAGUAAACCAGGUAAUGCAAUCUCGAACCAAUUCAUGCUCGUCAAGACACGAUGCACACGCUCGAUCGUAUAUU